AACGCUGGCGGCGUGCCUAAUACAUGCAAGUCGAGCGAGCAGAACCAGCAGAUUUACUUCGGUAAUGACGCUGGGGACGCGAGCGGCGGAUGGGUGAGUAACACGUGGGGAACCUGCCCCAUAGUCUGGGAUACCACUUGGAAACAGGUGCUAAUACCGGAUAAGAAAGCAGAUCGCAUGAUCAGCUUAUAAAAGGCGGCGUAAGCUGUCGCUAUGGGAUGGCCCCGCGGUGCAUUAGCUAGUUGGUAAGGUAACGGCUUACCAAGGCAAUGAUGCAUAGCCGAGUUGAGAGACUGAUCGGCCACAUUGGGACUGAGACACGGCCCAAACUCCUACGGGAGGCAGCAGUAGGGAAUCUUCCACAAUGGACGCAAGUCUGAUGGAGCAACGCCGCGUGAGUGAAGAAGGUUUUCGGAUCGUAAAGCUCUGUUGUUGGUGAAGAAGGAUAGAGGUAGUAACUGGCCUUUAUUUGACGGUAAUCAACCAGAAAGUCACGGCUAACUA
RNAcentral lists this ribosomal RNA (504 nucleotides) under Lactobacillus helveticus. RNAcentral describes it as "bacterial SSU rRNA". It matches the Rfam family "Bacterial small subunit ribosomal RNA", at positions 32 to 503 of the family's 1533-position model. Lineage: Bacteria; Bacillati; Bacillota; Bacilli; Lactobacillales; Lactobacillaceae. The record is from RNAcentral.